GCAGCGGGCCCGCAAGGGUGCCGGCGAGCGGCGGACGGGUGAGCAAUACAUAGGAAUCUACCUUAGAGCGGGGGAUAGCCCGGGGAAACCCGGAUUAAUACCGCAUGAUGUCGAGAGACCAAAGUGGGGGAUCGUAAGACCUCACACUCUGAGAUGAGCCUAUGUCGGAUUAGCUAGUUGGCGGGGUAACGGCCCACCAAGGCGACGAUCCGUAGCUGGUCUGAGAGGACGAUCAGCCACACCGGAACUGAGACACGGUCCGGACUCCUACGGGAGGCAGCAGUGGGGAAUAUUGGACAAUGGGCGAAAGCCUGAUCCAGCGACGCCGCGUGGGUGAAGAAGGCCUUCGGGUUGUAAAGCCCUUUAAGCCGGGACGAAAAAGCUGCACCUAACACGUGCGGCCUUGACGGUACCGGAAGAAUAAGCACCGGCUAACUCUGUGCCAGCAGCCGCGGUAAUACAGAGGGUGCGAGCGUUAAUCGGAUUUACUGGGCGUAAAGCGUGUGUAGGUGGCUCGCUAAGUCGAUUGUGAAAUCCCUGGGCUCAACCUGGGAAUUGCAGUCGAUACUGGCAAGCUCGAGUUCGGUAGAGGGCGGCGGAAUUCCCGGUGUAGCGGUGAAAUGCGUAGAUAUCGGGAGGAACAUCGAUGGCGAAAGCAACCGCCUGGGCCUGAACUGACACUGUGACACGAAAGCGUGGGGAGCAAACAGGAUUAGAUACCCUGGUAGUCCACGCCGUAAACGAUGGGAACCUGACGUCGGCCUGCCCUGCAGGUCGGUGUCGUAGCUAACGCGCUAAGUUCCCCGCCUGGGGAGUACGGCCGCAAGGUUGAAGCUCAAAGGAAUUGACGGG
RNAcentral lists this ribosomal RNA (852 nucleotides) under uncultured Gammaproteobacteria bacterium. RNAcentral describes it as "bacterial SSU rRNA". It matches the Rfam family "Bacterial small subunit ribosomal RNA", at positions 66 to 917 of the family's 1533-position model. Lineage: Bacteria; Pseudomonadati; Pseudomonadota; Gammaproteobacteria. The record is from RNAcentral.